This 28-nucleotide small RNA is filed under the name Bombyx mori (domestic silkworm). RNAcentral describes it as "ovarian small RNA-9586". Lineage: Eukaryota; Metazoa; Arthropoda; Insecta; Lepidoptera; Bombycidae. The record is from RNAcentral.
UUCCGAGUACCGAUGUUGCCCAAGGUCA